This 528-nucleotide ribosomal RNA is filed under the name uncultured bacterium. RNAcentral describes it as "bacterial SSU rRNA". It matches the Rfam family "Bacterial small subunit ribosomal RNA", at positions 29 to 544 of the family's 1533-position model. The record is from RNAcentral.
GAUGAACGCUAGCGGCAGGCCUAACACAUGCAAGUCGAGGGGCAGCAUGGCGUAGCGAUACACUGAUGGCGACCGGCGCACGGGUGCGUAACGCGUAUGCAACCUGUCCGGCGCAGGGGGGUAGCCCGUCGAAAGGCGGGGUAAUCCCGCAUGAACCGGUAUUCCCGCAUGGGGGUGCCGGCAAAGUGGAGACGCGGGGCCGGAGGGGCAUGCGUGCCAUUAGCUGGCUGGUGGGGUAACGGCCCACCAGGGCGAUGAUGGCUAGGGGGUCUGAGAGGAUGGUCCCCCACACUGGUACUGAGACACGGACCAGACUCCUACGGGAGGCAGCAGUGAGGAAUAUUGGUCAAUGGGCGGAAGCCUGAACCAGCCAUGCCGCGUGCAGGAAGGAGGCCCUACGGGUUGUAAACUGCUUUUACCCGGGAAGAAACCGCCCCCUGUGGGGGCGUUGCCGGUACCGGGGGAAAAGGAUCGGCUAACUCCGUGCCAGCAGCCGCGGGUAAACUCGUACGUACGUACGUCGUAGAC